This 460-nucleotide ribosomal RNA is filed under the name uncultured bacterium. Its description in RNAcentral is "partial 16S ribosomal RNA". It matches the Rfam family "Bacterial small subunit ribosomal RNA", at positions 338 to 795 of the family's 1533-position model. The record is from RNAcentral.
CCUACGUGAGGCAGCAGUGAGGAAUAUUGGUCAAUGGGCGGAAGCCUGAACCAGCCAAGUAGCGUGCAGGAUGACGGCCCUACGGGUUGUAAACUGCUUUUAUACGGGAAUAACGCGCCUUACGUGUAGGGCUUUGCAUGUACCUUAUGAAUACGGACCGGCUAAUUCCGUGCCAGCAGCCGCGGUAAUACGGAAGGUCCGGGCGUUAUCCGGAUUUAUUGGGUUUAACGGGAGCGUAGGCGGCAUGUCAAGCGUGCUGUGAAAUGUCCGGGCUCAACCCGGGCCUUGCAGCGCGAACUGGCGGGCGUGAGUCCGCGGAAAGCAGGCGGAAUUCGUCGUGUAGCGGUGAAAUGCUUAGAUAUGACGAAGAACCCCGAUUGCGAAGGCAGCUUGCUGCAGCGGAACUGACGCUGAUGCUCGAAAGCGCGGGUAUCGAACAGGAUUAGAUACCCCGGUAGUC